Molecule: non-coding RNA, 806 nt
Filed under: Catara rugosicollis
Lineage: Eukaryota; Metazoa; Arthropoda; Insecta; Blattodea; Blattidae
Description: 12S ribosomal RNA
Rfam family: Microsporidia small subunit ribosomal RNA (bases 379-791)
Source: RNAcentral
UAGUUUGAUUCUUGUUAAUUGUAUUUACUUUCAAAUUGUUUUAUAUGUAAGUUUUUACGUGGAAUUUUGAUUAAAUAUUCUUAAUGAUUAUUUAAUUUAAUUUUUAUUCGCAGUAAAUAGUUUUAUUAAUUAAUGAAAGUUUGAUUUGGUAAUUUUGAUUAAAUAUUGGUGAAAUUUGUGCCAGCAUCCGCGGUUAUACAAUGAAUGUAAGUAAAUGUUUAUUGGUUAAAAUAGUUAAUUUUUUUAUUCGAGUUUAUUUUUAAUAUUUUUGGGUGAAAUUUUAAUUUUUAUUAUAACUUAAUUAAUUUGAAGCUAUUAAAUCUUUAAUUUAAACUAGGAUUAGAUACCCUAUUAUUUAUGAUGUAAAUUAUAUAACCUAGGUAGUAUUAGUUAAGGUCUUGAAACUUAAAGAAUUUGGCGGUAUUAUAGUCUAUUUAGAGGAAUCUGUCUCUUAAUUGAUAGUCCGCAUUGUACCUUACCAAGUAUCAUUGUAUGUAUACCGCCGUUAAUAUUGAGAAUCUUUUGUAGAGUUAAUUAAUUUUCUUUGUUUAUUUUAUAAAAUAUUUCAGGUCAAGGUGCAGCUUAUUAUUUGGUGAAGAUGGAUUACAUUUAAAUUUAUUAUUUGGAAUAUUUGUUGAAAUUGUGAAUAUGAAAUUGGAUUUGAUUGUAAUUUUUUGAAGAUUGUAAAUAUGAUUAUUGGCUCUAUAAUAUGUACACAUCGCCCGUCACUCUCAUUAAUGAUUUAGUUGAGAUAAGUCGUAACAUAGUGGUUGUACCGGAAGGUGUGGCUGGAAUGAUAAAUAAUA